This 704-nucleotide long non-coding RNA is filed under the name Rattus norvegicus (Norway rat). RNAcentral describes it as "long non-coding RNA NONRATT009086". Lineage: Eukaryota; Metazoa; Chordata; Mammalia; Rodentia; Muridae. The record is from RNAcentral.
GAUGCAUUCAUUUCGGUUCAUGCUCUGUAGCUUUAGCCUUGUGGUGGCACAGGACAUCGUGACAGGACACACGGUGGAGGAGGCUGCUCAUCUCCGGGAAGCAAGGAGCAAAGAGGGGAAGAGACUGUAAUGUCCCAGUAUCCCCCUAGGCCAACCAUGCCCCAAGAGUGAUCUAACUUCCUUCCACCAGACUCUACUUCCCCGUGGCUGGACCGUUAGCAGACAUAGCUCAGUGAUGAAGACUCGGGCCAUCCUGCGGUUGAAGAGGGACAGGCCCCACUGUGCAGUUUCAGGGGUAGCAGCACUCGAACCAAUCAGUGCAGUUCUGGAGAGCUGAUCUCAUCAUCACUGAAGAAUGAAGAAUGGGGUCAUCGAGCUGGCUUAGCAGUGUUCCUCAGAGAACGGUGCCAUCAACCCUGGUUCUGUAGAGAUGAAGCCUGGGGUCCUGAGAUGCAGGGUUCCAGGAAAUGUCCCUUGUCUUCCUGGAAAGACAUCGAGUGGAUUUCCCUUAUUUAUCCCUGACGUGUGUUGCAGAAACCAUGUGAAGACAUGCAGGGUGGUUCAGGGUAAGAGUGGGUACUACUGAGGGGCUGUAGGGGGAGCCACUGAUCUAACGUCUGCUCACCCCUCAAGGGCUACCUCAUGUUCCCUCUUCCUUGCGCUCACUGUUCUGGCAAAUGUGAAGUAAAUGGCUUCUGCCACUG